Molecule: long non-coding RNA, 627 nt
Organism: Drosophila nasuta
Lineage: Eukaryota; Metazoa; Arthropoda; Insecta; Diptera; Drosophilidae
Exons: 3
Source: RefSeq, a predicted model, not a curated record
GAUAUCUCACACCUGCCAGCAUUUGUUUGAAAAGUUCAAAACCCAAGAUUAAAUUGAAAGAGAGCAAAAAAAUCCAACUACCAACUACUUCAACUAAACUAAAGAAGAAGCAGAAGCAGAGAGCAAAAACAAAACCAAAAACAAAAAAAACAAAAAAACACUAGCGAAUAAUUGGCCCGAAAUGGCGGCCACAAUGCCAAGCAAAUUGGCUGAGGCAAGGUCCAAGUAAACUUUAUUGAAGCUUAAAGAUGUAAAUAUUAUUUCGCGUACAUUGAGUGUAUAUUAUUGUUAAAUACAUGCCUGCUCUAUAAGCAUGGGGACCAACCGCUGCCGUUAAAAUUGUUUCCUCUGUAAUACGAUAAGCUGAUUAAUAUGUAAAAUUGUUCUAAGUAUGUUAACAUUUGUUAAUUUUCCAACAGCAAUAAAAUUGUAGUAUUGAAAUAUUCGUAUUUGUUGUAAUAUAACAAUAUUUAUAGUAUUUAUAUAAUUUAUAUUUGUAUCGAAUAUUUAUUCCGUUCACUCUAUAAUCAUCAAAAGGUAUAUAGUUAAAAGAUGUCAACUACUAAACAGUUAAAGUAUAUAGUUAGUGUAAAAGUUGGUAAAGGGUAUCUACUAGUCAGUAUAUUU